Molecule: long non-coding RNA, 258 nt
Organism: Dufourea novaeangliae
Lineage: Eukaryota; Metazoa; Arthropoda; Insecta; Hymenoptera; Halictidae
Exons: 2
Source: RefSeq, a predicted model, not a curated record
AACAACUGCAAGAAGAAACAUGUUCCAAAAAAUGAAAUUUGCUAUUCUCGCUCUUUCUGCUCUCGCCAUAGUGGCGUUUUAUAUUGCGCCCUCUGAAGCGGCUCGAUCCCGCAGGAACACUGGUCCGCAAUUCAUAGCUAGCAGAGGUUGAUGGUACAUAUUAUCACGAUAUACAAAUAUGCGACCCCUUAUAACUAUAACAAUUGCCACUAUGUAGCCUCACAGAUAAGAAAAUAAAUUACACUUGAACCUCGUAAA